UAUUUGCCUAAAUGCUCCUUAGCCUAGGAUC
This 31-nucleotide non-coding RNA is filed under the name Mus musculus (house mouse). Lineage: Eukaryota; Metazoa; Chordata; Mammalia; Rodentia; Muridae. The record is from RNAcentral.